This 684-nucleotide long non-coding RNA is filed under the name Sus scrofa (pig). RNAcentral's name for it is "lncRNA (ENSSSCG00070014729.1)". The record is from RNAcentral. Lineage: Eukaryota; Metazoa; Chordata; Mammalia; Artiodactyla; Suidae.
CCAGGGGCGGCUGCGGAGGCCGCGACGGCUCCGGGCAGGCGAGGCCGGCCCGUGGGGAAGGGGGCACAGGCCCCCGGAGCGGCCGAAACUGCUGCUGGAGAACUUGGUUCCUGAGCCGCUUUCUCCUCCGCGAAAGGACUCUGCGCGCCUCACGGCCCUCGUCCCCCGACGCUUCUCCUCUGAUGAGAGGAUUCCAGACGACAGCGCCGAGUUUCCAGGAUGAGUAUGGAGACAAACAAGGCAUGAGGCACCCUGGAGAAAUCGUGUGUCCAUCAGCAUCUCUCUUCGGCCCAUUCUGGCUCCAGGUACACGUGAGGAGUCCUGCACAGGGCUGGAGGGAAGGGCUAGGAAGUCGGGGCUGAUCCUGCACAGAAGGGUUGGCAGGCUCAGGUGACACUAAGAUCCACUGGGAGGUUGGGUCCCCCUCUUUCAGGGUCGUGCUCUGGCAUAUGAGGUGUUCUACAGAAUUUUGGGCUAGGACUGGGGUUCUUAUUCUGCCCUCUUAGCUUCUAGCUGAGGGAACUUGCCAUUCACAAUGAUGUCCCACCACGGGAUGCUGUCAAAUUCUGGUACCACGGACACCCAGCUCUUGCCCAAGAGUGGUUCUGCUGUGGCAUCUGUGAAGCUCAUCAUUUCCACCUCAAAAAACAUCGAUUCCCAGAGUUCCCGUUGUGGCUCAGUGGA